Molecule: transfer RNA, 68 nt
Filed under: Sicista betulina (Northern birch mouse)
Lineage: Eukaryota; Metazoa; Chordata; Mammalia; Rodentia; Dipodidae
Description: tRNA-Lys
Source: RNAcentral
CAUUAUGAAGCUAACAUGAGCAUUAACCUUUUAAGUUAAAGACUUGGGCAUUAAUGCCCUCAUAAUGA